AAAAUAAGUAAAAUGAAACAACAAAACAAUAAACCCCCUUCCCACAGACACAUUUAAAAGACUGUAGAAUAUUAGCCGUCCCAAGGUCUGGUUGAAGAGGAACAUUUUCACCUGGCACCUAAAAAUAUAUAAUGAAGAUGCCUGGCGAGCCUCGCUGGGAAGAGCAUCCCCCAAAUGGGGAAUCACUACAGAGAAGGCCCCGUUCUUGUGUUGUCCCCCUCCGGACCUCUCUAGGAGGAGGCACACAAAGAAGGGCCUCAGAGGAUGAAUGCAGAGUCCAAUGCGGUUCAUAUGGGGAGAGGCGCCCCCCCCCCAUUCAUUUUUAACUUUAAUUCAGCAGGAGCUGCAUAUAUGAUGUAUGCCAGUGCCCCACAUUCUGCUAGAUCUCCUUCCCUCAUGGAUGCCCACUCAAGGGCUUCAGACUGCAACAGGUGCCACAUAAGAAACCGAUCUUCUAGCACCUACACUUUGGAACUCCCUUCCUAUUGACACCAGGCAGGCACCUUCAGUGUACUCUUUUUUUGCACUUGCUAAAAACAUUUUUGUUCAGGCAAGCCUAUACAGAUAAGCAAAAGUUUGACAGGUGCUUUUAUCUGGUUUUUAGCGUACUGUUGAUUUUAAUGUUUUUUUUAAUGUUUUAAACAGCUGUUUUUAACUGUCUUUUUACUGAUAAUUUCAUUGUUUCAUUCAUUUUGUAAACCGCUUUGAGGGUGUGUGGUUUUUUACAAUCAAGCAGUAUAUAAAUUUUAUGAACUAAAUAAAUAAGUGUUCUCUAAAGGUUGGAACUAGCUUCAUUGUUCGUGGCAACCAUUCAGCUGCUUUCGAGGAAGUUUCAUGCCUUGUGUUCAUUCAGGCUGGCUGGCUGGCCCAGGAUUGACUGCUUUGGCUGGCAGCCGCUGCUCUCCAGGGUCAGUGACUCAGAAAGGUCCUUCCUCCUCCCCCCCUUUUUCUUUUUUGGCAGUAUUUUUAUUAAGUUUACUUAUCAUUACAGUUAUUCAAUUCAUUAUUCAAAACAUCAUAAGAUACAUAAAGAAAAACCAGAAUAAUUCAACAUCUUUGAAAAUGACUUCCCUUCACCUCAUUGUGGGUCCUUCUUUUUCUUUUUAACUGUGUCCUUUUUCAAAUUCAAUUCAUUGAUCUCACAUAACGUAAAUUAUCUGUCUGUUAACUAAUUUGCGAAAAUUAAAGCAUAUUAGAGAUUUUGUUUGGGAACAGUGUUUUUCUAAGUGUACUCUGUAAAACUUCCACUCAGUUUUAAAUUUUUGGUUUGUUUGAUUCCU
This is a long non-coding RNA of Podarcis raffonei (Aeolian wall lizard), 1280 nucleotides long. RefSeq lists it as uncharacterized. The record is from RefSeq and is a predicted model, not a curated record. Lineage: Eukaryota; Metazoa; Chordata; Lepidosauria; Squamata; Lacertidae. The transcript is spliced from 2 exons.